GACAGUAGGGAAUCUUCCACAAUGGACGAAAGUCUGAUGGAGCAACGCCGCGUGAGUGAAGAAGGAUUUCGGUUCGUAAAACUCUGUUGCAAGGGAAGAACAAGUAGCGUAGUAACUGGCGCUACCUUGACGGUACCUUGUUAGAAAGCCACGGCUAACUACGUGCCAGCAGCCGCGGUAAUACGUAGGUGGCAAGCGUUGUCCGGAAUUAUUGGGCGUAAAGCGCGCGCAGGUGGUUCCUUAAGUCUGAUGUGAAAGCCCCCGGCUCAACCGGGGAGGGUCAUUGGAAACUGGGGAACUUGAGUGCAGAAGAGGAUAGUGGAAUUCCAAGUGUAGCGGUGAAAUGCGUAGAGAUUUGGAGGAACACCAGUGGCGAAGGCGACUGUCUGGUCUGUAACUGACACUGAGGCGCGAAAGCGUGGGGAGCAAACAGGAUUAGAUACCCUGGUAGUCCACGCCGUAAACGAUGAGUGCUAAGUGUUGGGGGGUUUCCGCCCCUUAGUGCUGCAGCUAACGCAUUAAGCACUCCGCCUGGGGAGUACGGUCGCAAGGCUGAAACUCAAGG
RNAcentral lists this ribosomal RNA (565 nucleotides) under uncultured bacterium. Its description in RNAcentral is "bacterial SSU rRNA". It matches the Rfam family "Bacterial small subunit ribosomal RNA", at positions 350 to 906 of the family's 1533-position model. The record is from RNAcentral.